This is a long non-coding RNA of Mustela erminea (ermine), 1992 nucleotides long. RefSeq lists it as uncharacterized. The transcript is spliced from 3 exons. Lineage: Eukaryota; Metazoa; Chordata; Mammalia; Carnivora; Mustelidae. The record is from RefSeq and is a predicted model, not a curated record.
CUAUGCAUUGCUGUGUGUCUGCCACUGCCGCCUGGCACUCAUGGGGCCGUGUGUGUGUAUGUGUGUGUGUAUGCGCAUGUACAUGUACGCAUAAGCGCGUGCUGUAUGUGAGCCUCCUGGGCAUGGGUGGGGGUUGGCACUGCGGUUGCCAAUCUAGUGUCCAACCAGAAGGACAGAGGGAUGGAGGGGAAGAAGGAGGGGAGAGGUGCGGGGCCCGGGAGGGCAGAACUGGGUGCAUGGGUUGCUUCGUGCUGCCUGCUUUCAGGCAUUGGCACUGCAGCUGCCACCCUCAUGCCCGCGGAGAUGGGAGGAGGCGAAUGGGGAGGGGGGCGGCGGUAGGAGUCCUGGUGCUCUGAGAGGAAGGAUUGCUACCUGGGAGCCAUUGGCAUCACACCCAUCAUGCUGGUGCCCCGAGCUGGGGCAGUGGGAACAGGGGCCCCAGGAGGCAGAGAGGAGGGGCAGGGGGAUGUUAAUGAUCUUGCUGUCCCUCUGGAGCUCAGCUCUGAGAAACAGUUGGACUAGGAGGUAGUCAGCCUUCUUCCAGUCUGGGAAAGUAAAGUGGGGGAAAGAGUAGCCAGGGAAGUGCCAAGAAAGUGUCUAAGAGCUAGAAGGAGGGACCAUGCCACUGCUCCCUGGGGAGAGCUCCUCGGGGCUGGCAGUCUGGCCCUUUGUGAAAAGCAAGGGGACACGGACACGCGGCCGUGGGUGCUGGCACUGCCUGAGGAGGCUGGCACAGGCUCUAGCAUUGUGUGGAAGGAAGAAGGGGGGCAGCGCCUCUUGCCAAUCUGCUUGAGAGGAUGGCAGUGCCAGGAGUGAGAAGGGAGGUGAGAUGUUGGGCUGUAUGUGUGUGUGUGUUUAUGAGUUGUUUGGAAGAACAGACUUUUUUCUGCCAGGACCUCCUUCCUGUUCCCUCUUAGGCAUGGGGAGUGGAGCAACAGACGGAGAGAGGCGUGAGGACACAAAGGAGGACGUGCGCCAUUGCCAAGACCCCAAGGAAGAAGGAUGGAGAGCGCUGGCAGUCCUGUUUGGCCCCCGGCCAGUUUCCUGCUGAAGAUGGCCAAAUCCUCCGGCCUGGUCUGUGGGAAGAACAUGGGCUUUGGAUUCAUGCAGACCCAGGUUCAGUGCUGAUUCCCUCACUCAUCAGCUGUGCCACCUUGCCAGAAGAAGCUGGAGAUGGAAGAAGGCAUUCUGGCCCAAGCAUGCCAGAGGUCCAGAACUUGGAAAGGGCUGGACAGGAAAGAAGACAGCUGCCAUGGGGGCAAGAGGCCCAUGAGUCAGAAGCAGCAGCAGAAUCUAGACUCAGACAUCCCAGACCCGAAAAACCACCUCGGAGACCAGAGAAAAAGGAGGAUAAAUGGCCUUGGCUUGGGCUUGAGACUGAGGUGGGGGGGGGGGGUGAUCAUGGAGAAAACAAGGAUGGAAAGAUAUGAGGAUGGAAAUGGCGUGUAUCCCCAUCAGUUCCUCAGGGAAACCCAGUCUAACACUCCGGUCCCACCCUCUGCCUUCCUUCACUGAGAAGCCAAAUGACUAACAAUUGACUCUUAACCUUUCCUCGGAUCGAGCCCCAAAGGGAGAGGCUGAGGGUAGCUGGCUGUGACUAGAGGAGGCACUAGGGAAAUGUCCACACUGAAGUAAAAAUUUCUGGCCCACACCCAUCCUGCCCCACUGACUGCAUGUCAGUCAGCACGCUACACUGAACGCGAGCCUGCAUGCAUUUACCUUCUCUCAGAAAAGAGCUCUAGAUACUAUGUCCUCCUAAUUGCACAGGCCGCCGUGUGGGUGGAUGGCCCUGCGGUGACUCCAAGACUGGAAGCUUCGCUUUCAUGUAAUCCCCUAUUCCUGCCCAAACACAGAGAGGCAGCACCUGUUCUCUCACUUGACUUGGAAAGAAAAAUUUUGAGGGAUACCCAGCUAUCUCAGCAGGAAUUAGGAAAAAAAAAAAAAAAAGGUCUCUCCAUUGUUAAUUGUCUGCUUUCAGCUCAGGGUCCUGGG